CUUAGAGUUUGAUCCUGGCUCAGGAUCAUCGCUGGCGGUAUGCUUAACACAUGCAAGUCGAACGGUGUCUUCGGACAUAGUGGCGGACGGGUGAGUAACGCGUGAGAAUCUAGCUUCAGGUCUGGGACAACCACUGGAAACGGUGGCUAAUACCGGAUGUGCCGGAAGGUGAAAGGCUUGCUGCCUGAAGAUGAGCUCGCGUCCGAUUAGCUAGUAGGUGGGGUAAGAGCCUACCUAGGCGACGAUCGGUAGCUGGUCUGAGAGGAUGACCAGCCACACUGGGACUGAGACACGGCCCAGACUCUUACGGGAGGCAGCAGUGGGGAAUUUUCCGCAAUGGGCGAAAGCCUGACGGAGCAAUACCGCGUGAGGGAGGAAGGCUCUUGGGUUGUAAACCUCUUUUCUCAGGGAAGAACACAAUGACGGUACCUGAGGAAUCAGCAUCGGCUAACUCCGUGCCAGCAGCCGCGGUAAUACGGAGGAUGCAAGCGUUAUCCGGAAUGAUUGGGCGUAAAGCGUCCGCAGGUGGCUGUGUAAGUCUGCUGUCAAAGAGCAAAGCUCAACUUUGUAAAGGCAGUGGAAACUACACGGCUAGAGUGCGUUCGGGGCAGAGGGAAUUCCUGGUGUAGCGGUGAAAUGCGUAGAGAUCAGGAAGAACACCGGUGGCGAAGGCGCUCUGCUAGGCCGCAACUGACACUGAGGGACGAAAGCUAGGGGAGCGAAUGGGAUUAGAUACCCCAGUAGUCCUAGCUGUAAACGAUGG
Molecule: ribosomal RNA, 763 nt
Filed under: uncultured bacterium
Lineage: Bacteria
Description: bacterial SSU rRNA
Rfam family: Bacterial small subunit ribosomal RNA
Source: RNAcentral